UGUUAAAAGCUUAAACUGGUUGACAUAAUAAAUAAAUUUUAAACUAAACACUCAACAAUCAAUUAAUCAUGGAAACAUAAUCUGAUUGAAAGUUAAUUCAAACUAAUCCCAAAAAGGAAUUGAUUUUAAGGACAAAGUGCAUAAUACCCUAACCCAACCAAAUUCAUUUCAUGUUUUUUCCUCCAUACCAGCUGCCCCUAGAUUCAUCCUCCUCAUCUCCUCAAUGUCGGCCGGCCAGCACCUCCUCUGCUUGAUCAGGAUCUACGAUGACCAGAGAAUUAAUCCGACAAUCUCGAUCGAUGACUCUCUCAAUUUAGAAACAACAGUAAGGUAUGCUCGCGGUGGAAUUGAUUGAAAUUGUUGGUGGGUUUCGCUGGUUGUCGUGAGUGGUGUUGUUAAUGGAGGAUCUCCAUGGAGAAAGUUGUACACAUCACUCAAAUUCUGUUAGAAUUCUACAAGGUUACUUUACCCUAAAUCUCAAAUAUCUUGAAUAUCUAUCCCUGAAACAGGCAUUUUAAAUAUCCCAUAAAUUGAUAGAUAUUCAUAAAAAAAUCGAAAUCUCCAAUAUCCCAUAAAAAAUCAUUGGAUAUUCAUAAGAAAACCAUCCUAUAUUGUUUCUUCAUAUUUUUAUUUGUGGUUGAAGUUUAUUUUCCAUGAAUUAAAUUAUGUUGGAAGCACAAGUAUUUUUAUGAUGUUAAUGGUGUAUGGAAGGUGAAGAUGGAUGAGGUGAAAACGGUGCGGUAAAGAAUAUGAAAAUACAUGCUGGUGGGUUUCAGUGGUUGCUGUGGGUGUUGUUGUUAAUGGAGGAUCUCGAUGGAGGGAGUAUUUUUAUGGUGUUAAUGGCGGAUGGAGAGAGUUGACGGAGGAGGUGAAAAAUGAAGCGGUGAAGGGCAUGAAGAUAUAUCACGUGAUUGGCUAAAAUAAUACAGAUACUAUAUAUCGUACUAAUUUUUGUGUACAUGUACACAAGAAUGAUAUAUCUAGUUGAAAAUUUAAAAUAUGAUAAAAAAUAUGCAUCGAAAUUAUAUUUUGUAUUACUGAUACACAAGAUUUAUGUAUCAAAAUAAAAUUUGUGUUUCUGAUACAUAAGAUUUGAUCGAUUAAUUGGUUAUAUAUCCGAAAAGUUAUGUAUUCGACAAUGUAACUAAAACUUUAACUUUAAAUUUGAGAUUUUAUGUAAUUUUGGAAAAAGAAAAUGGAGUGUAAUGAGAGGAAAUUAAUAAAACUCACAUAUGCCUAAUCCCCAAAUGUAAGAAUGCUACUUCUUUUAAAAAAACUUUCGCGCUAUUAGUGUUACAAAAAUUAUCACUAAACUCCUAGCCCGUAGAAUAAGACCCUUUAUCAACAACCUUAUAGGCCCGUGUCAAUCUAGCUUCGUAAAGAAUAGACAAACUGGAGACAACAUCAUUGUUGUUCAAGAAAUUAUACACCACUUUAAGCGCGACUUGAAAAAAACCUUUUGAUAAAUUAGAAUGGUCCUCUGUCCGUAACACCUUGAUUUACUUUAAUUUCCCCUCAAAUAUCAUUAGCAUCAUUAUGUCUUGUAUAUCUAUCAGUUCCUCGGUGAUUUUAAUUACGAAUCUAGAACAAAUUUCUUUGACCCAACUAGAGGCAUCCGCCAAGAUUAUCCUAAAUAUCGUGCCACGUGGACCUCCACUCUCCCAUAUGUUUUUGUGGAUGAGUUGGUGCUUAUGUCCACCAUAGACCCUAAUAACUGUAAGGUGGUACAAUCCACACUCAAAAAAUUUUGUACUAAAUUCUCUUUUCUGCUAACUGCCAACAAACAUCCAGUCAACUACAUCUUCCUUCUUCCCUAUCAAAAGUAGACCCUCUUUUGAAAAAUACCUUGGGUUCCCCAUAUUCUACAAGUGCCCCAUCAGGACGGACGGACUUCCAGUUUAUUCUAGAUGACCUUAAGAAGAAACUUAUGGAUUGGAAGACCAAAUUCUUAAAUAUAGCUGGACGUACCACCCUUGCAAUAUCCUCCCUAAACAGCAUCCCUACUCACAUAAUGCAUUCGUCCUUGUCAGAGACAAAGGGGGUCUUGGAAUCCAAAAAUCAAGCCUGAAAAAUGAUGCUUUACUCGCCAAACUUGCUUGGCGGCUUUAUAGAAACCCAAUGACCCUUUGGGCAAGUCUACUCUAAUUAAUAAAUAUGCUAGAGGCAAAAGUGUUGCGGAUCCUAAUAAAGACCUAAAGUCAACGAGUUUCAUCUGGAAAAACAUAGUUAACAGUUGGAGCUUCUACAACAGAUUCAUUAGAUGGAAUAUUGGGGAUGGUACAAAGAUCUCCCUUUGGAAUAAUGUUUGGAUCCCCAAUAGUAAACCCUUGUUCAAAACUAUCAGUGGAUCUCUAGGUAAAAAAGACCUCGAGCUGACAAUUAGCGACAUCAUAGUCAAUCAAUCCUGGAACCUUGAUAAAAUCUCUAAUGAACUUCCUGAAGAGGUUAAAUUUCAAAUUACAGCAAUCCCCAUCCCUCUUCCUAGCCAUAAAACCGAUUAUCAAACAUGGCUCUUGAGCCAAAUGAAAAAAUUUCCACCAAAAGUGCCUAUGGCUGUCUCCUAUCAGAUUAUUCUUCAAAAGGCUCAACCACCAAGUCCUUCAACUGAAUUUGGAAACAAAAAUGUCCAAAUAAACUAAAAUACUUUCUAUUGCUAUGUCUUCAUGGGCAUCUCCCAACCAAGCAAUACUCACAUCAUAUGACCAAAACUGCUCUAUAUGCAACCAACCAGGGACCAUACUCCACAUAUUCCUUUUUUUCCCAUGUCCAAUUAUUUUGGAAGGCAAUUAACAUGCUACCUCAAAUACAAGCUAUCAGUGGGGCGAGGGAGAGAGAUUGGCUAGUUAAUUGUAGGAAUAUCAAUACCUCAUGCUUUUCAACCCUCUGCUGGAAAGAUGUCUUUUCUUUCUAUCUAUGGAAUAUUUGGUUAACGCGAAAUCAUAACGUUUACAAUGACCACAAGAUCCAUGUACCGACUCCCACACCUUUUGAGUGGCCUGUGUAAUACUUCUUCUUUGCAAAAAAUGCCCAAACUAGCCAAAGUAAGGAUCAAUCUACCUGGCAACCUCAAUAUAGAUGAGUCCUACAAUCACUCCACAAAAGUAGGAUGAGCAGGGGGGGGGCUUCAGAAAUAAGUUGGGGAACUGGGUGAAGGGUUAUAGUGCCAAAGUAAACGUUAAUUCCUCUUUGGAUGCAUAGCUAACGAGCCUUUACUAUUGUCUUCUAAUUGCUCUUAAGUUGCAGGUCUCCCAUUUGGAAAUUGCAACAGACUCAAUAGAGGUAAUCAACAUACUGCGGCUACACCAACAUACUAACAAUACUUUGGUUUCUUCAUAUAGAAAUCUUCUAAUCAGUCUGGGGAGCCAGCAGAUAAUGCAUGUAUCAAGGAAGCUGAAUCGAGUUGCAGAUAGGCUAGCUAAAGAGGUCCAUAGUUUGUCAAAUAAUAACUUGUUUGUUGAAGGGUUAGACCACCUGCUUUUGUUUGUCCACUGUAGGUGAUGUUGUAAAACCCUAGUUAUCAGAAUAAUGUUUAACUCCUAUCCUAUGCUGGGCCUGUUGAGCCCCUCUACUGUCAAAAUUAUGUAACUAGUACUGGG
Molecule: long non-coding RNA, 3596 nt
Filed under: Capsicum annuum
Lineage: Eukaryota; Viridiplantae; Streptophyta; Magnoliopsida; Solanales; Solanaceae
Description: long non-coding RNA (CANN_LNC003785)
Source: RNAcentral